Molecule: unclassified non-coding RNA, 215 nt
Filed under: uncultured Clavaria
Lineage: Eukaryota; Fungi; Basidiomycota; Agaricomycetes; Agaricales; Clavariaceae
Description: partial internal transcribed spacer 2
Source: RNAcentral
AAUACAUCAAUGUAGACUUGUCUUUUGACUUGCUCUACACUUGGAAGUUGAAGGCUUGCUGGUUGUCAUGAUCAGCUCCUUUUAAAUUCAUUAGCGGGACUUUUGAAGACUUGGCUUCAGUUUGAUACAAUGUCUAUGCUGUCGCUAAGGAACGGUUUAGUCUGGCUUAUAAUUGUCCUUUGGGACUGCCUCUAGUGGGCAUAACAAACUUUGAU